UGGAAAAAAAAAAUAAAAAUAGUUUCCUGCAGAUGGAUAGAAACAAAAGAAAAGAAAAGAAAAACAAAGGAAAGAAUGCUGAUCAAUUUCUGACCAAUUCCGAACGUAAAUAAGAAACUUUAGCGUUUAAAAAAUGAAGAGGGAGUAGAGUUUUGCCCGGCAUGGUGGUAAUCGAUCAGGGUAGAAGAAGGACCCUUAGGUUGAGUGAAGAGUAUAGGGGUAGGAGUGAGGCUGGACGGGUAGGUGGAGGAGGAGGGGGGUGGUGGUUAAAAGAAAGAAAAGAAUAGAAAGUAGGUAUAGAGGGCGGUCGUGUAUAGGGGGGUUGGUUAUCUCGAGUGAACUCGUGCGCUUUCGGCGGCGGCGCCGGCGCCGAUGUUGUAAAAUUGGGCUAGUGGUGGGGGUAAAAGGUGAGCGUCGCGACGUCGGGCGUCGAGGAUACGGGUGAGCUCGGGACAGGCAGGCCAGGCAGGAGCUACGGCAGGCGACGGCCGGGCGGUCGUUUUAUUGAUCCCGGGGCGCCGCGGCGCUACCCACCCGCGGCGGGAAACACUCCGAGAACUUUCCUUUUCCUCCAAGAGGAUAUAUCUCCUUUUUUUCCAUCUUUCCGUCCUCUCGACGUGGUUUCCUCUCGCAGGACGAGAAGAACAUACGCACAGAUACUACACACACAAGAAACAUAUAGAUACAUAGUCACGUACCGCGUACUUUUACGUCAAAGGAUUGUCAAUAACGACCUGGUGGUGUACUCAAUUGGAAUGAAUUUUUGCCAAUCGGGUGGACUCGUCCGAGUUACAAUAGUAUUCACGUAAUUAUUAUUAUUAUUAUUAACGUUUAAACGUGUGUCCCCCUUGUAAUAUACUAGUGGUUGUGUAAAUCAUCUUCGAGAAGAGAUCGGAAAGGAUUUUCGAUAAGAAUAAGAACGAAACGCGGUUCAGAGGAAUAUCAAGUGCGAUCAAGGAGCUUUCGAGGAAUCGUUUUUAUUUGGGAUCAUGGCGUGGCUCGUUUCGACGAUGAAGAUGGUAUAAAAAAGGGGCUCUCAUUGUUUCGGGGGACAGUGUUAGGAAAAA
Molecule: long non-coding RNA, 1067 nt
Filed under: Polistes fuscatus (common paper wasp)
Lineage: Eukaryota; Metazoa; Arthropoda; Insecta; Hymenoptera; Vespidae
Description: uncharacterized LOC122525176
Source: RNAcentral